CCCUCAUGAAACCAGAUCCUAGUUUGUGUUCGCUGGAAGCGGUGAAUGACGCAUUGUUGAACAGUGAAGAUGAUGACGACGUUAUUACUGUCGAUUUGGGAUCGCCGGAAGGAGAAGGUGGAUGAAAAGACAAGUUCCAAUGUAUUUGACAACCAAUCUCUAUGAAGCACAACUUCGUUUUGCUUUUUUGGUGAAAGUGGUAAGAAAGCGUACCAUGAGGGCAUGCCUGUCCAGGAGAGUGCUGUCCGACUGGUGAAAAUUGUAGCUGCUUUGAUCUAUUGUGACGAACUUGAAAGUCAAGCUCAUUCGGAAGACUAUAGUGUGUGUAUACAAUCCGUCUAGCAUAUUUUUCGGAUGGGAAACAAUCUUGGCUCCCUGGGCACAAUGGUCACACAACCAGAAUUGAUUGAAUAACAAAAUGCCUGGCUGUAUAUAUCGCCUUUGCAAACCAUUGCAAAGCUAUCUCAAUCAGGUCCCGGUCCAUUCCAUUUGAGAGCGGAGUGGGUGGAGGUAUAGCUGGCGUUUUCUUUGGUGGUAGAGCUGUCCAGAACUCAAUCUGUCCAGCCAUCAACCUGCGACUGGGUAUGUUUGUCUAGCAGAUCCAAAUGCCUGUCCAAGCGGAAUAUUCAAAUCAUCAGCUCCUCAAUAAAUCAUUAGCAUAACUACAUGUCACGCAGAAUAAUUUACAACGAGCUGAUUGCUCUUCCAAUAAUCAAAUGUCAUUGAUUCCAAUAAUAAAGCAACAAAUGGAUUACAGAUGGAUUACAGAAACAAUCACCUACAAAAAGUAAUCUUGUACAAACAUUCUGGAAACAUCAACCACCUGGCAAAUAGCUUCCAUCGUGAACUGAAUGAUCUAACUGUCUCGAUCGGGUAUCCUCGUCCCGCGGUUCAUCGUCGUGAAUAACAUGACCAGCGAUGGCUCGACACUCCGACCAGCAGAGACCUUUGUCACCCACUGGCUCGUUGUCGGAGCGGAGAACUUGUCCAGGUUUCAGGACUCACAAUUCUCCACCAGCGAUGGCUCGACGCUCCAGAAUGUUUGAUCAAUUUUACUUUUUGUGGUUUCUGCAAUCCACCAAUUGGUUGCUUUAUUAACGGAAUCAUCGACAUUUUAUUACAUAUUGGAAGAACAAUCAGCUCAUUGUAAAAUAAUCUGCGUAACUUUUAGUUGCUAAAAUUCGGAAACGGAGAACUAAGUGAAAAGCAAAUGAAGUCAAACUAAAUACGCACCUCAAUGUUAUUCAGCAUCUGAUUGAACAAGAAAAGGAUCUGUGGUGCUAAUAAUUGAAUGAGUAUUUUAUGAUUCAAAUAUCCCGCUUGGACAUGCAUUUGGAUCUACUGGACAAACAUACGCAGCAGCAGGGUUGAUGACUGUGCAGAUGGAGUUCUGGGCCACCACCAUCAAAAACGCCAGCUAUACCUCCACCCACUCCGCUCUCAAAUUGAAUGGACCGGGACCUGAUUGAGAUAGCUUUGCAAUGGUUUAUUAAGAGAAUUUAUCCAGCCAGGUAUGUUGUUGUUUAAUCCAUUCUGGUUCUGUGUAAAAGCAAUUUAGAAUUAAUGUUUGCAUAUUGUAAAGAUUUUAUUCAUUAUUUUAUUGAUGUAGUUUAUUUUGACUUUGAAUUCAAGACUUGAGUUAUUUUAUAAGAGGUUGAAUUAACUGCGAAACACCGAAGAUGGCCAUGCUUUUCAUGUCGAAAUAAGAAUCUGAAAAGUUAUAAUCAAAUGGUGGAAUUGAAUGGAAUAUGAGUCGUGUUUUGCUUUUGUGAAUCCUUUUUUAAUAGAACUAUUUUUAUCCUAAAAUAGUUGGACACACUGAAGUCUCGCUUAACUUUUCAAAAGACCCUAAAAGAACCUAAAUUUUUUCCAUGAAUUAAUUUGAGUACUUCAAUCAAAAGCUUUAAUCACAGACAAACAGACAUAACACAUUGAACAUCCACUCAUCAAAUUCAUCGUCGUUUAAACACUAACGACAUCUGUUGAUUUCAGUUAGUUGGGCAAAUCACGAACCAGAUGGCGGUAGUGAGCAAACGUCAAACUAGAGCAAAACCGAUAUGCGCGCCACGAGUGAUCGAUUGGCCAACUAAUAAUUAUUUGAAUCGACCAGUAAAUCAGUGAACGAUGGAAAUUCGACGAGUGUUAUGUCUGUUUGUCUGUGCUUUAAUGUUGGUCUGUUGAUUGCAAUAUUCAAAUUAUGUAAUUCAUGAAAAAAUGUUGCUUAGGUACUUUUGAAAAAUUAAGCGAGAAGUCUUCUUCACCUUCAAUAACUUCAUACCAACUGGAACAUGACCAGCUUUCCAAAUUAGUGUUCUAUAAGCUUUUCCACAGUAAUUAAAUGAAAGCUUUUUUAUUGCCGCCAACUGCUUGAAUGCCAUGCAUCUUGUGCCCAGAUAGCCGAGAAUGUUUCCCAUCUGAAAAUAUGCUAGAGGGAAUUGUACACACUACAGUAAAUCAUUUAAAAUGUAUAUCACACACAAUAGUCACAAUAGAGCAAAGCAGCUAAGACAGUCGUACAGCAUUCUCCAGGACAGGAAUUCUCUCACUCAUGGCGCGCUUUCUUAUCAUUAUCACCAAGAAAUUCGAUGGGCGUUUCCUAACUCUUCGAAUCGAAACAUUCAAUCGACAGGAGAAGUGUGCAUAAUUGGCACGAAACUUUUUCUCACGUCCGUGGAAGUGGGCUCAUCAUGGAAGUCAUCAUCCUCAUUGUUCUACAAUACGUCAUUUGCCGCUUCCAGCGAGCGCAUAGUCGACUCUUGUUCCAUGAGGGCGAAAUUCCAGCAUCCACUUCUCCAGCGACCUUUCUUUUGCCGUUGCCUUAGUUGAGUUUCGAAACUGCAUCAACGAUAUGCUUACUUUACUUCUUCCGGGUGGAUGGUAGCACAAGAUGACACAUAUCAAAAGAAUUCUUUAAGUUUUAUACUUUCUGGGUUUCUUCCGCAAUUCCUUCUUCUCCAUGAGUCCUGAAUCCAUGGACAAGUCCUUUGCUCUGACAACAAGUCAGCGCUCUAUGUUGGUUGGAGCGUCGAGCCAUCGCAGGUGGUGCUAUUCGCGAAAAUGAAGCACGGAACGAGGAUGCCUGGUCACGACACUAAAAAUUACUCUUCAAAAUAACUUGUCGGAAAUGGAGUUAUGUAAAGAACAUAUAGAUACCACCAUGGUCCUUAAACGACGUUGCUGGUACCAGUUCUACUAGUUAACAAUCUCGCCUGAAUCAGUGGAAGAUGCCCGCUACCGACACGAAUAUGGGACACGAUUUAACUGAUUUCUGUGCUUCUGGAACGAUAGCUAAAUACAUGCAUUGCACUGCUUUAUCGAGGCGGUUUGAGUAGUUUACAAGGAAAUAACACCUGGUUUACUUAUCUUGGAGGAUUUGAAGAUGGAUAGCUAGAUUCCUCGGCCGAUACGGCCAGUGAAGAUUGGCCUGCUAAUCAACGUUUUUUUUACUGAUUUAGUUCCUGAGUUUGAUCCUGG
Long non-coding RNA from Armigeres subalbatus, 3474 nucleotides. RefSeq lists it as uncharacterized. Lineage: Eukaryota; Metazoa; Arthropoda; Insecta; Diptera; Culicidae. The transcript has 3 exons. The record is from RefSeq and is a predicted model, not a curated record.